GCCCUGGUGGCACAAUGGUUAAGUGUUGGGCUGCUAACUGAAAGGUUGGUGGUUCGAACCCACCCAGAGGCU
This 72-nucleotide transfer RNA is filed under the name Loxodonta africana (African savanna elephant). It matches the Rfam family "tRNA". From Rfam's summary of the family: Transfer RNA (tRNA) molecules are approximately 80 nucleotides in length. Their secondary structure includes four short double-helical elements and three loops (D, anti-codon, and T loops). Lineage: Eukaryota; Metazoa; Chordata; Mammalia; Proboscidea; Elephantidae. The record is from Rfam by way of RNAcentral.